Molecule: non-coding RNA, 70 nt
Organism: Pelobates cultripes (western spadefoot toad)
Lineage: Eukaryota; Metazoa; Chordata; Amphibia; Anura; Pelobatidae
Source: the annotation of a GenBank genome assembly
CUGGGGAAUUACUGACACCAUAACCACUACAGUGUUCUGUAGUGGUUAUAGUGCUUGGAGCAUUCCGUCA